GCUGCCCCAAAAGUCUUCCCCUCAACUCAUUUUCUUGGCUGCACCAGACAGAAAGUCCAGCCCUCUUUCCCUACUCUUUUCCUUGUUCUUUGUUUCUUUCUUCUCCCCUUCUUACAUGGCAGCCCUCCCUCUCUCACCAAAACAAAAUAUCCCUCUCUAAAGAAGAAAUUAAAGGGUUAAUACUAAAAUUUCAGCUUCAAAUUGUUGGGGGUGUUACCAGUAUCUAAGUCUAAGCUCCUUCGACUUUAGGCUCUCGGUUCCUCUGCUUUCAGUUAGCAGGUUUUAUUUUGGAGCAGAGGAAGCCUUAGUUGAGUUUGGAAGGAGCUAGUUCUAGUUUUAUAUGUAUAGAUCCUAAAUUAGCAAUUUGAUGUUUAGCUUUGUAGUAUUGUGUAUUUUAGGAUCUAAAAAAA
Long non-coding RNA from Quercus lobata, 410 nucleotides. RefSeq lists it as uncharacterized. Lineage: Eukaryota; Viridiplantae; Streptophyta; Magnoliopsida; Fagales; Fagaceae. The transcript is spliced from 3 exons. The record is from RefSeq and is a predicted model, not a curated record.